ACGGGAGGCAGCAGUGGGGAAUAUUGCACAAUGGGCGCAAGCCUGAUGCAGCGAUGCCGCGUGAGGGAAGAAGGUUUUCGGAUUGUAAACCUCUGUCAACAGGGACGAAAAUGACGGUACCUGUGAAGGAAGCUCCGGCUAACUACGUGCCAGCAGCCGCGGUAAUACGUAGGGAGCGAGCGUUAUCCGGAUUCAUUGGGCGUAAAGCGCGCGUAGGCGGCUUGCUAAGCGGAACCUCUAAUCCGAGGGCUCAACCCCCGGCCGGGUUCCGAACUGGCAGGCUCGAGUGCGGUAGGGGCAAGUGGAAUUCCAUGUGUAGCGGUGGAAUGCGCAGAUAUAUGGAAGAACACCGAUGGCGAAGGCAGCUUGCUGGGCCGACACUGACGCUGAGGUGCGAAAGCGUGGGGAGCGAACAGGAUUAGAUACCCUGGUA
Molecule: ribosomal RNA, 433 nt
Filed under: uncultured Coriobacteriaceae bacterium
Lineage: Bacteria; Bacillati; Actinomycetota; Coriobacteriia; Coriobacteriales; Coriobacteriaceae
Description: bacterial SSU rRNA
Rfam family: Bacterial small subunit ribosomal RNA
Source: RNAcentral